This 309-nucleotide unclassified non-coding RNA is filed under the name plant metagenome. Its description in RNAcentral is "partial contains 5.8S ribosomal RNA, internal transcribed spacer 2, and large subunit ribosomal RNA". The stretch from base 1 to 105 matches the Rfam family "5.8S ribosomal RNA", at positions 50 to 154 of the family's 154-position model. The record is from RNAcentral.
GAAAUGCGAUAAGUAGUGUGAAUUGCAGAAUUCAGUGAAUCAUCGAAUCUUUGAACGCACAUUGCGCCCCUUGGUAUUCCAUGGGGCAUGCCUGUUCGAGCGUCAUUUGUACCCUCAAGCUCUGCUUGGUGUUGGGUGUUUGUCCCGUCUCCGCGCGUGGACUCGCCCCAAAGUGAUUGGCAGCCGGCGUACUGGUCCCGGAGCGCAGCACAUGUCGCGCAAACGAGUGCCUUGGUACGGCGGCGUCCAUAAGCCCCUCUCUCACGCUCUUGACCUCGGAUCAGGUAGGGAUAGCCGCUGAACUUAAGC